GACUACAGCCAUACCAGCCUGAAUGUGCCCAUUCCUAUCUGAUCUCCAAGUCCAAGCAGGGCUGAGCCUGAUUAGCACUUGGAUGGGGACCACCUGGGAAUACUGGGUGUGUUAAGCU
This is a ribosomal RNA of Fukomys damarensis (Damara mole-rat), 118 nucleotides long. NCBI's taxonomy places the organism in Eukaryota, Metazoa, Chordata, Mammalia, Rodentia, Bathyergidae. The record is from Ensembl.